This is a non-coding RNA of Acanthosepion pharaonis, 103 nucleotides long. The record is from the annotation of a GenBank genome assembly. NCBI's taxonomy places the organism in Eukaryota, Metazoa, Mollusca, Cephalopoda, Sepiida, Sepiidae.
UUAUCACGUUGAAACACCGGUUCUCAUACGAACACUGGAGUUAAGCAAUAUCGAGCCGAGUCAGUAACUAGAUGGGUGGCAGUAUGGGAAUACCAGGUUGUUA